Pezoporus occidentalis (night parrot) is the source of this 861-nucleotide long non-coding RNA. RefSeq lists it as uncharacterized. Lineage: Eukaryota; Metazoa; Chordata; Aves; Psittaciformes; Psittacidae. The record is from RefSeq and is a predicted model, not a curated record. The transcript is spliced from 3 exons.
AAACUGAAGGAAUACACACACCAGAGCAAAGAAAAUGAUUACUCAGUCUGUGGGAAAAGCAAGCCAGCAACAGAAGACAUAGAUAGCCACCACUCAAGUAACACCAGAAUGACCCUUACCACAUCCAGUGCACAACAAGAACAGAAGUAGCCUCUGAACAGGUGGAUACCACCUACACCACAUAUCUUUAAGCCUUCAAAAUAAGGCCAGAGUUAGCCCACCUGCCCUGGUUUUCAUGCAGCUGUGUGCAGGGCAGGAGGAGCCCUGGACCUGGCCCUUCAUUCUUCAUGCUGCUGCCCCUGGGGAAAGCUGUAAAUGAGAAGAUUUGAUACACUUCCCUGAGAUGUUUCCCUGACUUGUCAUUGUGAUGAAAGGAAACCCAAUAUCCCCUCCACUUUCCAGUGCAACACUGCAGAAACAAGGAAUGACAGAGGAAGAGCAAGAACCAUCUUAACUGGGAGCCUGAUUCAUCCUCGAAUCUCUCAAGCAAUGCUUAGUUUAUGAAGCCAUCACAAAUAGAAUGAUACAUUUGAACAAGAGCUGGGAGCCUUGUAAAGCUAUUUUACUGCCUGGAACAAAGAAAAAUAUAUUUCUCCUCCUCCAACAACGUGCCACAUUGUCUUCAAUAUGAAGACAAUAUGGAAGCAAAAGAGACAAUGCACACAAUCAAUAAAUAUUUUGUUCCUUUAUCCAGCUAUUAUGUCACUGCUAAAAGGAUCUUAUAUAUAAACUGCUCAGGUAUUUAUUAGAAGAAGCCUUCCAAUAGGUUGGCAGUCCCAUAUCACACAUUUCAAAAGACUCUUUUUCUUUUGAGGCACUGGUAAUUUUCUUCCCCAAAAACACUCUCAUUAUUUUGAGAGU